UACGAAGGGGACUAGCGUUGUUCGGAAUCACUGGGCGUAAAGAGCUCGUAGGUGGCCUGUCGCGUCGGCUGUGAAAACUCGGGGCUCAACUCCGAGCUUGCAGUCGAUACGGGCAGGCUAGAGUUCGGCAGGGGAGACUGGAAUUCCUGGUGUAGCGGUGAAAUGCGCAGAUAUCAGGAGGAACACCGGUGGCGAAGGCGGGUCUCUGGGCCGAUACUGACACUGAGGAGCGAAAGCGUGGGGAGCGAACAGG
This 253-nucleotide ribosomal RNA is filed under the name uncultured bacterium. Its description in RNAcentral is "partial 16S ribosomal RNA". It matches the Rfam family "Bacterial small subunit ribosomal RNA", at positions 524 to 776 of the family's 1533-position model. The record is from RNAcentral.